Elaeis guineensis (African oil palm) is the source of this 3259-nucleotide long non-coding RNA. RefSeq lists it as uncharacterized. Lineage: Eukaryota; Viridiplantae; Streptophyta; Magnoliopsida; Arecales; Arecaceae. The record is from RefSeq and is a predicted model, not a curated record.
AAAGCAAGGAAGAACGCAGGGGUGGGGGACCUCUAUCAGGAGAGAUGACACCGACUUCGAUCGGUCUUAUAACUCGAAGCGAGUGUCAUCUCUCCGGACAAGGGUCCUCCAACUCCAUUCAUCUCUCCCACCAGCUCCAAUGUAUGGGAGAGAGACAUCAGAUGAGAGCAUCCUUUCGGACCAUAGACAUGGCUUCACGUUUCCAACCAGCCAGCCAUGGAGUUGUGAAGGAGUUGGGGCUUCCUUUGUCGCAGGAAAGGUGACACCUGCGGUGGCUAACCAUAGACAUGGCAACUGUCACCUUUCUGUGACAAAGGAAUCUACUAUCUCUUUUCUUGGCCUUUACACCAUCAAACUCGGUUCCACUUGUGUAAGUUCUACUGUUGGAUCUCCAUGCUUGUUUUGCCUUCUAAAUGGCUAUCUCUCUUCUCUCUUUUCCUCUACUAGGAUGGUUUCAGGUUCCAAUAUUUGUUACUCAGAAUGGAGCAACAUCAACCAAAUCUUUGAGCCAUCUCAGAAUGGCAUCAUAUUUAAGACUUGAAUGCAUUAAUUCCAUUGUGCAGCAUGGCAGGAGAAUUCUUAAGUUUGAAGUACAAUUACCACCAUUCUCCAUAAACAAAGCUCGCUUGUUUCUUCUGUACCAACUGCAUCAUAUAUUCUCCGACUCAUUAUGCACUAAAUGGUGGAAUUUAGAGCUGGCUUCUUGGGACCAUCAAUGAAGGUCAUUUUCAACCUGACCUUGGAGGGUUUGACUAAAGAGAGACAUAAUAUGUUCUGAUUAAACUUCAAUGCAUUAACGUGAUCGCUGUCCAUCAAGCUGAGAUGUGACCCAGACCUAACCUUGGUUGAUUGGAGGAGGCCUUCAAAAGAGAAAGUUAGUAGGUUCUGACAUCAAGGAUCCGUAUAUGAUUAAUCUUCUAUUUAUAUUAAAGGCAGGCAUAUUCUGAUUGGGGAGAGUCGGACUCUAAAAAUGAGAAAUUUUCAUUUCAAUCAUUUGGUGCAGAAAAAUCUUAUUCUCAAUCUUUCAAAAUCUAAUUUUUUCCAAUUUCUGCUCCAAUCCAUUCCUACUCCAAUCUCGAACCAAACCUAUCCUAAAUCUUUCACCUUGGUAACAAAAAAAGGGACCGAGAAUAGUACUCUGUUCCAGAACAGAGUGCUAUAAAAGACAGUGAUGCCGAUUCUUUUUCCCUUUUUUUUCUUUUUUUUUUCUUUUUUGUCUUGCUGUGGCGGCCGGGCAAGUGACGCCAAUCAAACAGCAUUCAGAGAAUAUGUUCCCUACGAAAUGCAUGACAGUGCGAAAGGAGGAAAGCCGGAAGGCUCAAAUCAUCUACAAUCCAAAAGACACCCUGGAACGCUCUUUCGACAAUUAAACAAAAUGGAUCAUAGAAGCUAAAGAGAUUGGGUGUGAUGGUGACAGUUGUAGCGCUAGAAAAGUGGAGGAUAUUUUAGCAAGCAUGCAUAACACGUUCUUGUCUUUAAACUGGUCCAAAAGGCUGACCGUUUACAGAAUUCAGUACUGCUGGCGCCUCUUUGACAUCCACCAAUAGAAUCCAUGGCCCAGAGCAGAGUCCCACGUGAAAGAAAAAGUAUUGUGUUGAACUGGAUCCACCACAUCAUUUUUUUUUGGUCGGAUCCAUCAAAGCUAGGCACAUCACGGGCUUGAUAGAGAGGAAAAAAACCUUCAAUUUUUAUAGAGAAAUUAUUGAUUAGAAUGAUUCUACUAUCUAUAUUUUAUACCAUCCAAUAACAAACCAGUAUAUCAUCUAUUAUUAAGAAAAUAUACACUAUUAUCCAAGUUUGAUUGAAAAUUUUAAAUAAAAAAAAUAUUGUUAGCUAUGAUUGAUCAACUGAUAACUUUUACUAUUUUAAAUAGAAAGAGAUUCACUUUCUUGAAUGAUGUAUUUGCUUUAUUAUUGGAUGGUGCAAGAUACACAUAGUAGAACUAUUCUAACCGAUAAUUUUUCAUUUUCAUAGGAGAGAUUAUUGGUUAGAACUAUGAAAUUUUUUUCACUUAAAAUUUUCAACCAAGCUUGAGAAAUAAUGUAUUUUUUUCUAACAAUAUAUGAUUGUAUUGGUUUGUUAUUGAAUGGUCAAAAGCAUAUACAGUAAAAUCAUUAUGACUAAUAAUUUCUCAUUUCUAUCGAAUGAAUCAUAAUUUUUGAUUGAAGGUGCAAAAGCCAAGAGUGGGAUGAAUGUGGAGGUUCUCCCCCUAAGUUUGCUAUGGAUCUCCCUCACUCUUGCUCUCCUCCACUUCCUCGCAACAGCUGCAAAGAAGAACUCGUCAUCCUCCAACGUCAAGCUACCACCCGGCCCAGUCGAGCUUCCCAUUCUGGACAGCCUCUGAAGGUGGGUGAUCAACCCUAUCGCUCACUUGCCUGCUUGGCCAAGACCUAUGGACCUAUCAAGCUCGGCCUCACUGCCACCGUCAUCGUCUCCUCCAGCAUCGGCACCCAAAUCUCUUUUCCUCCAUCACAAUGUACCGAGUCUUAGUUGAAUUAGUUCAAAAAUGACAUGAUCGAUAUGGUUCAACCAAUAAGAAUGCACGAUAUUAGACCGUAUGGACCAAGGGAUGGUGCGCAUGUGAUGAGCUGACAACUAUGCUAGCAAGAACAUGGGGAGGGGGAAAAUGAAAGGGCAUCAUCCAUUAUAGGUAGGCAUGAGGCUAGGCUAACCUAAGCAAACAGGGGAAACAAAGGCUGAAACCAUGCGACUCUGAUCUUGGAUAGAGUUUAUAUUUCAAACUAUAUAAUACAAGACCAUCUAAACAUGACCAUAAGAAAGGGAAGGUGGAUGAUUAUACCUUUUUAUAUUGCUAUAUACAAAACAGAAAAGAUAGAAAAGCUGGUGCUUUGCUUCACAGAUUGCAGAACAGAAGAAGAGGUGUGCUCAAAAACAAUCAUGAACCUGUAGUGGUAAAAACAAACAGCAUUUAAAGAAGAAGGAGAAGAUGCUUUUACAAAAUCUGUGGAACAUCAGCAACUUAAGCAACUCUAUGCAAUGUUUGAGAGUCUCCAAUUCCUGAAGAGCUAGAGAUUUCUGAGGGAAGACGUGUCUUCUUCUUGCUCCUGCAAGGUCUUUGGCGCUACAAUUCCAUGUUUAAUAAUACGUAAUGAGAUUGGAUUUGAGGGUAAAGGGAAGAUCUUUGAGCAGGUGGAAGAGGGGUGGAGAUGUGGGGGUCGCUGGAGAGGAGGUCAUCGGAUUAUUUGUCUUUCAUUGUUUAUAAUUUUAAAAAAAAUAUGAUAUAUUUAAUUAUAUAUGA